GCAGGCCGAAUUACACUCCUAGCCCCUGCCCCGCCCAGGCGGGGGGUGUCUGCCUGGUGAGCAGCGCCAGGGGAGUGUAAACAAACAACACAGGCUAGCCUGGGUUCUGGAAACCUUUCUAAAGAAUCGCUUGUGUUUUGUUUGAAGGCUCAACCACAGGAAUUAUCUCUUGGAAUCUCCGCAUAGGUUCAGUGUUGCUGACCUCCAGCAGAUCGCAGACGGGGUGUAUGAAGGAUUCCUCAAGGCCCUGAUUGAAUUUGCCUCCCAGCAUGUCUACCACUGCGACCUGUGCACCCAGCGCGGCUUCAUCUGCCAGAUCUGCCAGCACCACG
RNAcentral lists this small RNA (332 nucleotides) under Pan troglodytes (chimpanzee). Its description in RNAcentral is "retained intron". The record is from RNAcentral. Lineage: Eukaryota; Metazoa; Chordata; Mammalia; Primates; Hominidae.